This 1718-nucleotide long non-coding RNA is filed under the name Malus domestica (apple). RNAcentral describes it as "long non-coding RNA (MDOM_LNC013910)". The record is from RNAcentral. Lineage: Eukaryota; Viridiplantae; Streptophyta; Magnoliopsida; Rosales; Rosaceae.
GGGCUAGAGGGCUAAAACGAGCCCUCUGGCCAGCCUUCAGUUGGAGAUGGCCUAAAGACUCUCUCAGUGACCUAACUAUCUUUAGAGUGCCUAAUUAAUCUUAACUCAGAUCCCUUUCGUGUGGCUACAACCUUAAUGGGAUUAAUUCCACUAACCUUCUUAGUCUCUUCUAACACAUACACAAUGUUAUCAUAUGUGGAGUAAGACUAAUCAAUAGCUUCUCUACAAUUCUCUUGUUAGACAUAGUUACAUAAUCAGUCUAAACAACAUAGUUACAUAAUCAGACAAUUCUUCACCAUUUCUCAUUCUAGCAUAUUCAAAAUCACGACGGAUAUCUUGAAGUUUCACAGUCAUGACCUGUGAGUCACCUUUGUACUCCUGCUUCAAGACAUCAUAUGCUUCAUUUGCUGUCUCUUGAUUGGCGACCCUAGAAAAAAUAUCAUCGAACACAUCACCUUGAAUCAAUCGUAGUGCCUUUGAAUCUCUUGCAAUGAGAUCAUGGAUUAUAAUUUGCUUGUUCUCUGAGGCUUUUUCAUUAAUAUCCUCUGGAAGCUUGAUUGCUACAAAUUUUCACAGACUGUAGGAUUUGAAAACUAUCUUAAUCCUAAUGCACUAGAAGUCACAGUUGACUUUAGUGAAGAUCAGAGCUCGAAGCUCAGCUCCAGAUCCAACCAUUUCUUAUUUUGAUUCAAUUGAGUUCUUCGUUGAAAACCCAAAAACCAAAUCCUAGAUCCAUGCCCCUUGAUUCAAAUCAAACCAAGCUCUAAGGCCAUGUUAGUGGAUUUGAGUCUAUAUAUUUCUGUAUAUUUCAAAUUUGAGUGGUUGUUAGUGAUAAGUCGAUAUUAUACCAUUUAUUUUACACUAAUCUUAGUUAUAAUUUAUUAGUUAUUUUGGUAGAAUUGUGAUACUUUUUUAUAUAUUUCCAAUGUAGAACAUUAGACUUCCUCUGGAGCAAAACGUGAUCAAACGGAUGAAAUUUUAGAGUGAGUGAUUCUAAUUGGAGGAUGUUCGUGUGCCUUGUAAGAUGAUUGUGUCAAAAUUUUAGAUUUUUCUACCAAGCCGUUUAUCCGUGGCAAUGAAUUAAGGCCUAGCGCAACUUUCCCAGAUUGAUGUUUCUACAUGUUUUGGGUAUUUUGGAGGUCAAGAUGGCAUAUUUUAAGGAAUAUUCCUUCUGAGGAUUUGUAGGGGACGUCUUCAGCUUUAAAAAGAGACAUUUUGAGACCAAAUCGGAGUUGAUUUAGUUAGUCAAAAGACUAAUUUUCUGAGAAUUCUGAAUUUUAGUUUAAAUAGGAAAUCUUUUAUUUUCUGUUUUAUUAUUUUAUUAUGUUUCCUAGUUUUAUUCUAAGACCUUUUCUAGGAAGGAUUUUAUUUUGUAGUAGUAUAAAUAAGGCUUUUUAGCCAUUAGGGAGAGAAAAGGGGGGGGGGGAGAACGCAUUUUGGCUUUAGAGAGCUUUUGACGAUUCAAGUUUAUUUUUAAGGUGUUUUCUAUCCAUGUUUUUAAUAAUACUUUGUUUUUUGAUUGUUCAGAACUAGUUUGUUUGCUAGGGCGAGGCCACGAGCUUUAAUAGGAAUAUGUAGUUUCUUUUCAAUUUGCUUAUGAUAUUAUGCAUGCAAGUUUUGAAUUAUUAAUCACUGUGCUUUAAACUAUCUAAUUGUCUUGAUGAUUGGCCACCAUUACAAUAUUUAGAAAAGUAACUUGAUGCAAUUUUGGCAGAAGG